This is a long non-coding RNA of Mercenaria mercenaria, 440 nucleotides long. RefSeq lists it as uncharacterized. NCBI's taxonomy places the organism in Eukaryota, Metazoa, Mollusca, Bivalvia, Venerida, Veneridae. The record is from RefSeq and is a predicted model, not a curated record. The transcript has 4 exons.
GUGUCAUAAACGUGCUGAAAAAAAUUAUAGUGAUCAAAUCUGAAAUUGAUUAAUUCGUUUUAUUAGCAUAGUUUAUUGCCGCGAAAUAUUUAAAUAUUUGUGAACAGUGGAAGAGUGAUAUUAAGACGUUUAAACAGAGGAUAAAGAUGAUACUGUAAUAAUUUGACUGCCCUUCACAGAAUAUGUAAACAUAUAGAAGAAUUUCAAGAUGACAAGCAUUGAAAAUAUUUCGACGUUCCAGUUAAUACUUCUGAUUCUACUUGCGAGGAGUGCGAGUGCCCAGGAACCAACAGAAAAACAGAUCGAAUCUGAAAAGAAGAUUGGUCAGAUCUGUACAAUUGAUGAACAGUGCACGACGAAAAACGCGUCAUGUAUUGAAUCAGUCUGCAGCUGCAAUGAAAGUCACUUUUACUUAACAUCUGAUAACGCCUGUGUCCCAA